CAGGCUUAACACAUGCAAGUCGAGGGGCAUCAGGAAGAAAGCUUGCUUUCUUUGCUGGCGACCGGCGCACGGGUGAGUAACACGUAUCCAACCUGCCCUUUACUCGGGGAUAGCCUUUCGAAAGAAAGAUUAAUACCCGAUAGCAUAAUGAUUCCGCAUGGUUUCAUUAUUAAAGGAUUCCGGUAAAGGAUGGGGAUGCGUUCCAUUAGGUUGUUGGUGAGGUAACGGCCCACCAAGCCUUCGAUGGAUAGGGGUUCUGAGAGGAAGGUCCCCCACAUUGGAACUGAGACACGGUCCAAACUCCUACGGGAGGCAGCAGUGAGGAAUAUUGGUCAAUGGGCGCUAGCCUGAACCAGCCAAGUAGCGUGAAGGAUGAAGGCUCUAUGGGUCGUAAACUUCUUUUAUAUAAGAAUAAAGUGCAGUAUGUAUACUGUUUUGUAUGUAUUAUAUGAAUAAGGAUCGGCUAACUCCGUGCCAGCAGCCGCGGUAAUACGGAGGAUCCGAGCGUUAUCCGGAUUUAUUGGGCUUAAAGGGAGCGUAGGUGGACUGGUAAGUCAGUUGUGAAAGUUUGCGGCUCAACCGUAAAAUUGCAGUUGACACUGUCAGUCUUGAGUACAGUAGAGGUGGGCGGAAUUCGUGGUGUAGCGGUGAAAUGCUUAGAUAUCACGAAGAACUCCGAUUGCGAAGGCAGCUCACUGGACUGCAACUGACACUGAUGCUCGAAAGUGUGGGUAUCAAACAGGAUUAGAUACCCUGGUAGUCCACACAGUAAACGAUGAAUACUCGCUGUUUGCGAUAUACAGUAAGCGGCCAAGCGAAAGCAUUAAGUAUUCCACCUGGGGAGUACGCCGGCAACGGUGAAACUCAAAGGAAUUGACGGGGGCCCGCACAAGCGGAGGAACAUGUGGUUUAAUUCGAUGAUACGCGAGGAACCUUACCCGGGCUUAAAUUGCAGUGGAAUGAUGUGGAAACAUGUCAGUGAGCAAUCACCGCUGUGAAGGUGCUGCAUGGUUGUCGUCAGCUCGUGCCGUGAGGUGUCGGCUUAAGUGCCAUAACGAGCGCAACCCUUAUCUUUAGUUACUAACAGGUUAUGCUGAGGACUCUGGAGAGACUGCCGUCGUAAGAUGUGAGGAAGGUGGGGAUGACGUCAAAUCAGCACGGCCCUUACGUCCGGGGCUACACACGUGUUACAAUGGGGGGUACAGAAGGCAGCUAGCGGGUGACCGUAUGCUAAUCCCAAAAGCCUCUCUCAGUUCGGAUCGAAGUCUGCAACCCGACUUCGUGAAGCUGGAUUCGCUAGUAAUCGCGCAUCAGCCACGGCGCGGUGAAUACGUUCCCGGGCCUUGUACACACCGCCCGUCAAGCCAUGGGAGCCGGGGGUACCUGAAGUACGUAACCGCAAGGAUCGUCCUAGGGUAAAACUGGUGACUGGGGCUAAGUC
Molecule: ribosomal RNA, 1441 nt
Filed under: uncultured organism
Description: 16S ribosomal RNA
Rfam family: Bacterial small subunit ribosomal RNA
Source: RNAcentral